RNAcentral lists this ribosomal RNA (723 nucleotides) under Triticum aestivum (bread wheat). RNAcentral describes it as "partial small subunit ribosomal RNA". Lineage: Eukaryota; Viridiplantae; Streptophyta; Magnoliopsida; Poales; Poaceae. The record is from RNAcentral.
AUGGAUUCCAUCUUGGCGAAUGAAACUUGGGAGAUAACUGAUCGUCCUUAUGGGUGCAAACCUAUAGGAUGCAAAUGGGUAUUCAAGAAGAAACUUAGGCCUGAUGGUACUAAUGAAAAGUACAAGGCUCGGCUCGUGGCAAAGGGUUAUAACCAAAAGGAAGGUGAAGACUUCUUUGAUACUUACUCACCUGUGGCUCGACUGACCACUAUUCGAGGUCUACUUUCACUAGCUGCCUCACAUGGUCUUCUCGUUCAUCAAAUGGAUGUUAAGACUGCUUUCCUAAAUGGAGAUUUGGAUGAGGAAAUUUAUAUGGAACAACCAGAGGGGUUUGUAAUAGAUGGCCAGGAAGGGAAAGUGUGCAAGUUGCUGAAGUCUUUGUAUGGACUCAAGCAAGCACCCAAACAGUGGCAUGAGAAGUUCGAAAGAACUUUAAUAGCUGCAGGCUUUGUUGUGAACGAAGCUGACAAAUGUGUGUACUAUCGCCAUGGUGGGGAUGAUGAUUGUGGGAUUACAUUGCUUCAAUCUCACUAUGUGGAAAAGAUCUUGAGCCGCUUUGGCUACAGUGACUGCAAGCCCUCUCCAACACCAUAUGAUGCUAGUGUGUUGCUUCGAAAGAAUCGAAGAAUCACUAGAGACCAAUUGAAAUAUUCACAGAUUAUUGGCUCGCUUAUGUACUUAGCCAGUGCUACGAGACCUGACAUCUCUUUUGCUGUUAGCUAA